Molecule: long non-coding RNA, 1063 nt
Organism: Populus euphratica (Euphrates poplar)
Lineage: Eukaryota; Viridiplantae; Streptophyta; Magnoliopsida; Malpighiales; Salicaceae
Exons: 2
Source: RefSeq, a predicted model, not a curated record
GUAGUGGAAACUAGUUUCAUUCUCUCAAUACUACAUCUCUAUAUCAAAGUUUAGAAUGCAGCGAGUAGUUUCAGAUUUCAGUAAGAGGGCCUCUGGACUCAACAAAACAUAAUGCACCUAACCCAAACAUGGUGACUAUAUAUAGUCGCUACCCAAGCUCACUUGAAAGUUUAUAGUGAUGAUGAAAGCUAGACACUUCCCAUCUAUUAAAGCUUAUAUCGAUCAAAUAGUCCCUAUUCAAGUUUGCUUGAAAGUUACUCCAGCCACAUUGUGAGUUUGUAAAUUAAUCUGUGCCCUCUCAAGUGUUUUACGUCGAAAGUGAAAGGAAGGAAACCAUUGUCUGAAUCAAAAUUCCAAACUGACCAAGGCUUUGCAUAAUUUUCUAUUUUUAACAAUCUGAGGCAUAUAAAACACAUGCAAGAGAUAGUUUGUACCAUGAUUUUGCUCUAAAGUCUGAUGAAAUGUAACUAAAGGUUAAUAAUGUAAUGUAAUAUUUUAAUUUGCAAGCUGAAAACAAUGAAUUUUUUUUUUGUCCUCUGGCAUAGUUUAACUGGUAGUUGCACCUACAUCAAAAGAGGAGGUUACAAGUGUGAGUCUUACCUCCACCAAAUUAUCCAAAAAAAAAAAAAAAAACAUCUAAGUACCCAAAACUAAUGUAUUCAUACCAUUACAGGCUAUAGGUGGAAGCCUAGAAACGAUUUCCAAACCUUGGUUAAAUCAAAGGGAUACUCUUUCUCUUGAAUGGGAAAUCCAGCUAACAAACAAAAAGGUAGAUGUUUGACGCAAGUUAUCCAUAUUUACCUACAAUGUCGAUGCUCUUAUGCUAGUGACAAAAUGUGGACAGUGAUAUGAAUCUAUCAUUUAUUUAAAUAAAUUACAUGCAUUUGACCAAGAUUUGCUUCCCACGUUAUCAUUUGGAGUUCAAAUCUUUGGGGAGACCGCAAGAAAAUAAUUUCUUGUGAAUGCGAGUCUGAGUGUGGAUGACCACCUUAAGAUCCAACGGAGGAGAAGCUAAGUCUCAGUGCACAAAGAAGUCCCAAGGAUACCGUUACUGCUAAAACCA